CUGUAGCGGAAUGGAUAUCGCGUUGAACUUCUAAUCCAAAGGUCAUGGGUUCGAAUCCCACCUGAAAGG
Trichonephila clavipes is the source of this 69-nucleotide non-coding RNA. NCBI's taxonomy places the organism in Eukaryota, Metazoa, Arthropoda, Arachnida, Araneae, Nephilidae. The record is from the annotation of a GenBank genome assembly.